ACCAGCGUGAUGUAGUGGUUUGAGCGUUGGACUAUGACUCCAGAGGCCAAGGUUCGAAUCCUGUCUGGGUC
Phrynosoma platyrhinos (Desert horned lizard) is the source of this 71-nucleotide non-coding RNA. The record is from the annotation of a GenBank genome assembly. Lineage: Eukaryota; Metazoa; Chordata; Lepidosauria; Squamata; Phrynosomatidae.